GGAUCUGCAAAGAGAGGGGUCGUGAGGGGGAAAGAGCUCUUUCAGGAGAAGGAGGCUGCUCUUGGGUGAAUGAGACGAGGAAACAAGAUGAGCAAGGCUGCCUGGCUAUACUGUUCUUCUGCUACUGAAACAUUCUUCAAGCAUGUCAUGAAUCCAUCAGUAUUCCAGCAGAGAGAGAAGAGUGGCAGUAGAAAGAUCAAUUCAUCACUUCAAUGGACAGAUUACUUGACUGUCAAGUCACACUAGGAAUAAUAAGGGGUUCAUUGUGCAGACAGGAAUUCUGAUACUUUCACGUGGCUGCCACACAGGAAAGAAUUGCUCCGUUCGUUCACUUCAAGGAAGAGUGCCACUCCAUAAGUACAAAUAGAUAUAGAGGGCCCAUUUCAGUCAUUGGCAAAUGCCUUCUCGGCCUAUAUCAAAAAGGAAACUAUUGCUACUGGGCAGGAUGGCAAAGAGCAGCAAACUGGAAAAGAGGCUUCUCCUCUCUUCCCAUGUUGCUUUGGCAUGCCGGGGGGAAAGGAAGAGAGGCUUCUUGAGCACUCUAUUCCAUAACUGCCAGAAAAAUUGUGCCUAUACUUGCAUAUAACAGGACUAAGUGUGCUUUCAGUUAUUAGCUAAUUCACUGCCUUGCGUCUUCUCUUUGGCAGUGGCUACAUUUCUGGUGGGGGCUGUUAAAAUCAGAAGGCAACUGGUGAUGUAACCUGUAAGGAAUGAACUUUGGGGGCCGUCUAGGGUCAACUUAUUAUUAUUUUGCUGUUAGUACUGCUCCCUGCAAAGUUUUAUAUUUGGAUGUUUCUGUUAUUGUUUUGAGUUAAAUCUGCUCUACUGACUGUAACACAU
This is a long non-coding RNA of Hemicordylus capensis (graceful crag lizard), 840 nucleotides long. RefSeq lists it as uncharacterized. Lineage: Eukaryota; Metazoa; Chordata; Lepidosauria; Squamata; Cordylidae. The transcript is spliced from 3 exons. The record is from RefSeq and is a predicted model, not a curated record.